CGGACGGGUGAGUAAUGUAUGGGGAUCUGCCUGAUGAGGGGGAUAACUACUGGAAACGGUAGCUAAUACCGCAUAACGUCGCAAGACCAAAGAGGGGGACCUUAGGGCCUCUUGCCAUCGGAUGUGCCCAGAUGGGAUUAGCUAGUAGGUGGGGUAACGGCUCACCUAGGCGACGAUCCCUAGCUGGUCUGAGAGGAUGACCAGCCACACUGGAACUGAGACACGGUCCAG
Molecule: ribosomal RNA, 231 nt
Filed under: uncultured bacterium
Lineage: Bacteria
Description: partial 16S ribosomal RNA
Rfam family: Bacterial small subunit ribosomal RNA
Source: RNAcentral